RNAcentral lists this long non-coding RNA (342 nucleotides) under Phaseolus vulgaris (common bean). Its description in RNAcentral is "long non-coding RNA (PVUL_LNC003513)". The record is from RNAcentral. Lineage: Eukaryota; Viridiplantae; Streptophyta; Magnoliopsida; Fabales; Fabaceae.
UUCCAUCUUCCUUAUCACCUCAAGAUAGUGAGCAUUGGAUUGCUUGGCAUUCUUUAAGUCCUCAUAAAGGGCUGCCUUUUGUGGUGAGCAUGGUUUGGAGGACUCUCCACUAGAGAAAUGAGCCAUGAGCAGAAAAUACACACAAACAGAAAACAAAACAGUGAAAGAAACUUGUUAGACAAUUAAAAAACAGUGAGAUAUAGGUUGCUGGAAAAUGCCCAAGAAAGCACUCAAACCACUCCAAGAAAAUAUUCUGUCCUCAACCAAGCCUUUCUUGUGGAAUGGAGUAGCUUCAAGUGAAAUAUGUCACAGCAAACCAACUUACUUAAGAACAAGUCUCCA